AACGUUAAACGUUUGGCUUUCUGGGUAUUCUUUGGAACACUAUCGAUCUGUUCAAUGAAGAUCAUAUGAUUCCAUCUGGGAUUUCAUUGUUAUAAGUACCUUUCUAAUGGAUCUUCAGUUGUCAGUUUUUUUUCAUGUCUUCUAAUCACAGGCAGUGAUUCCUUAUGCAGGGUCCAGAUGGUCAUAAACUUCUCGGGCAUAUUGACAGGUUUGUCUGGGAAAAUUCUACAGUACUGGGGUGUAUCCCAUACUGUUUGUUUGAUGAAUAUUUGUGACCGUCAGAUCCACAAUAUAUCCAAUGGUCGUGGAUAUUCGAAUCAAGUUAACCUAUUUAGCGGGUAACUGGUUCAUAUGAUAUGCCACCACGACUCUCUCUCUCUCUCUCUCUCUCUUCGUGACUCUGCCUCCCCACUGCUCAUCCAGUCGUCUUCAGCCUCCAGCCCACGGGUUCUCUCUGUGCGGCAAAGACCCUCUCCGUCUCAGCGUGUCUCCUUGAUCGUUGAGGCGUCGAUGGCCCUUUCUACACUCGACGGUGACGAACUAACGGUGGUAACUCGGCUCUUACUUUCUGGGUUUUCAGUCGAAUAGCCUCGAAGUCUUGAACUUGGUUGCUCUCUUCCUCAAGCAGCAAAGCAGAAAGCCUGAAACAAGCUUGGUUAGUUGCUGAAAUCAAGCUUGGUUAGCUGGUUCUGAAAUUGGCAUUCAACAAUUUAUGUUCUUAAAUUGUUCUUUUGUUGCUGAUAUUGCUUGCUUCUAUGUUUUGGGGUUUACUUUCGAGUUUGUGAAGAGUAAAGAUUGAUUCUUUUCUCAUGUAAAUUGAGGGGAUUGAUGGGAGUUUGAAGAAAUGGGGUUUUUGUUGUUAUUUAAAACGGGCUGUGUGUCCUGCUGAACAAAGUUUGAGUCUUUUCUCAUGUAAAUUGAGAGCCCUGAAGGGAAUUUGAAGAGAUAGAACAGUGGAUGGUAGAGCUUCAAACUGUUAUUUGGUUGGAGGGCAAUAUCGACAGAAUGAAUCCUCUGCAGAUUUCAACUACUCCACAGGAUUAUGGGCACUAAUUACGGAUUUAGAGUGAUCAUGAUUUUACUAUGUUUGUAAAAACUCAAGAGGAAUUUGAUGAAGACAGGAUCAGUAAAAUGCCAGAUGAUGUUCUCUGCUUUCAUGUCAGCUGUUCUGUACAUAUUCUUAAACACCAUUGUGGAGAGGAGACCUCAUGUAUUCCAAAAGAUGAAGAACCUAGCUGUGAUCGCGUAAGCUGACUUGCGAACCAUACAUUCAGCCAUAUGGUGAGAAAUGGAUUAGAAUCUAAACUCUGAAACUUAUUUUUGACACACUCAGGAGGAGAGGUUUGGUUUUGAAGUUCAUUCAGCUUUUUUGUUGUUUAGUAAAAAAAAAAAAAACUUUUUCCUCUGAGUUUGAUGAGUUUUUUUCCUUCUUAUUACUCGCUUACUCUUUUUUGCACUAGCUGAUCGUUCAUGUAUAUGGGACUUAUUAGUUCUUAAUUCAACAUGUCGUAUUAAGUUUUAAGGGACAACCUGUUUUCUCAAACUAGCAUGACAGAUUAAAAAGUAAAAUGUACAUCCUAAAUUUCAAACUUCUGACUAUCAGUAUGUACAUUUUUUUUCCUUCAGUUGACACCUAUAGUUAUUUGAACUAUAACUUCUUAUGUCAUACUGAGAUUUGGUAUAUCAGUGAGAGAUUCUAUCUUUGUGAAGGACAGUGUUAUUGACCUACAUGUAGUUAUUGUUUUACAGUACUAAGCAGUUGCCUAGUUUUUUCUUUUGUCUAGGAAUCAGUGUGUUUUAUUCUUCCCUUCUGUGUUGGUAUAAAGUAUAAGUUUGCUCUUGCUCCUAUACGUUUGUGUAUGGAGAAAUGUUUUUGAAUUGCUUUCAGGUAUAGGAAUGAUGCGAUAACUCAUGAAAGCUGUCUAUGAUUCCAAAGCAACUUUUCAACUGUAUAAACAUCUCAAGUUGUUUUAAAUUUGGGAAAGCUACAAACUUCAUUCUGCCAUGAAAUUACAGUAGAGAUUGGAAGGGCAAGCCAUACCCCUGGAUCUUUGUCGAUCAUUAUGGCUGGAAGAUUCAAGGGCAAUAGGGUUGUCUCUUUGAAGCAUCAUUCUUCUUGCUUGCUUUUGGUCACUUUUACGUUUGGUUUUUCUUAACUGAGUGAGAAAUUGUUUUUACUCUUGGUUACCAAGGCUAAGGCCUUUUGAUGAAUGUACAUUUAGUUUGCUAUGUUUGAGUGUCAUUGUGGAUGUAUAAUGUAUGUAACGUUUGCAAAUGUAGUAUUAUUAAGCUGAACACCAGCAGCAUUGCGCGGGCUGCAAUACCUAGUUACUAAUGAUACUAGAAUAAGGGCGGCUGUUACUACUAACAAGUAUUUGAUUCAUAAGUGGGGCCAAAGUCAAUUCUUUCUAGCCAUUUGAUGUGGGUUCUCAGUUUUUGAUCAACUUGUCGUUAUUGAUUGCUUGUUCAGUCACUUAAGUUAUGAAAUAAUAGUAUUUAAUUGAA
Long non-coding RNA from Rosa chinensis, 2505 nucleotides. RefSeq lists it as uncharacterized. The transcript is spliced from 4 exons. Lineage: Eukaryota; Viridiplantae; Streptophyta; Magnoliopsida; Rosales; Rosaceae. The record is from RefSeq and is a predicted model, not a curated record.